This 253-nucleotide ribosomal RNA is filed under the name uncultured bacterium. Its description in RNAcentral is "partial 16S ribosomal RNA". It matches the Rfam family "Bacterial small subunit ribosomal RNA", at positions 524 to 776 of the family's 1533-position model. The record is from RNAcentral.
UACGUAGGGUGCGAGCGUUAAUCGGAAUUACUGGGCGUAAAGGGCGCGUAGGCGGCCCGAUAAGUAGGACGUGAAAUUCCGCGGCUCAACCGCGGAACUGCGUUCUAGACUGUCAGGCUUGAGCACGGUAGAGGCAGAUGGAAUUCCCGGUGUAGCGGUGGAAUGCGUAGAGAUCGGGAAGAACACCAGUGGCGAAGGCGGUCUGCUGGGGCGUUGCUGACGCUGAGGCGCGACAGCGGGGGGAGCAAACAGG